GUCCACGCCCUAAACGAUGCACACUAGACGGAUGCGGCUCUGACGUCGUAUCGGUCGAAGAGAAAUUGAUAAGUGUGCCGCCUGGGGAGUACGGUCGCAAGGCUAAAACUCAAAGAAAUUGACGGGGGCUCACACAAGCGGUGGAGCAUGUUGCUUAAUUCGAAGCAACGCGAAGAACCUUACCUGGGUUUGACAUGCACGGAUUAGUUGGCGGAAACGUCAAUGAGGCCCGCAAGGGUACAACGUGCACAGGUGCUGCAUGGCUGUCGU
This 270-nucleotide ribosomal RNA is filed under the name uncultured bacterium. RNAcentral's name for it is "partial 16S ribosomal RNA". It matches the Rfam family "Bacterial small subunit ribosomal RNA", at positions 793 to 1055 of the family's 1533-position model. The record is from RNAcentral.